Long non-coding RNA from Megalops cyprinoides (Indo-Pacific tarpon), 511 nucleotides. RefSeq lists it as uncharacterized. Lineage: Eukaryota; Metazoa; Chordata; Actinopteri; Elopiformes; Megalopidae. The transcript is spliced from 3 exons. The record is from RefSeq and is a predicted model, not a curated record.
GUUUCAGCAACACUCAGUCACCGCUCAGGUGCGAGAGGGAGUCACCCUGGCGGCAGCGGGUGGAGACAUUCCAGCGAAGGCCGUGGUCACUAAGGACGAGGAAGAUAGACCUGAGCUGCUCAUUAUCAAGGAGGAGAGACCUGAGGAUGAACAGGAUGCCAGUGACCCGAAGGAACGCGUAAAGUUCAGCGCGGAGAGAGCUGUGGAGUUGAGGGCAGGUGGUGGGGAAAGAACUCCCAUUCAGGACACACAGAAUAAAGCAGCACAACACACAGAGGAGCUCACUGAGCAGCACAGGACCAGACACAGUGCUUGGGAGGUCAGUGGAUUGGAGAACGUCCUCAAAGCAGAACCAGAGAGUGAGAGUGGAAACCAACCACUUUCUGAACACAGAGCAGGACGACUGAGCAGUCUGGACUCUGACUGUGUCAUGUAUGAGAGCCUCAGUCAUUUGGGGACUUAUGUUACCCAAAGGAGUCCAUAUGGAGAGACUGAGGAUCCAUCUUGCUCG